UUAGGGAAAAUUCCACGAUUUUUAGGGAAAAUUCCAGGAAUUUAUUGGAAAAUUCCAGGAUUUUAUUAGAAAUUCCAGGAUUUUUGUGGAAAUUCCAGGAUUUUCAGUGAAAAUUCCAGGGUUUUGGUGAAAAUUCCAGGGUUUUUCAUGGAAAAAAUGGGGAAUUUUAAAAGGCAGGGAGUGGAAAUUCCAUCGGGAAUGGGAGGAGAGGAAGAGGAGGGAGAUGGGAAUGGGGGAAUGUGGAAAUUUGGGAAUUUGGGAAUUCGGGAUUGUGGGAAUUGGGGAAUUUGGGAAUUCGGGAAUUUGGGAAUGUGGGAAUUGGGAAAUUUGGGAAUUCAGGAAUUUGGGAAUGUGGGAAUUUGGGAAUUGGGGAAUUCAGGAAUUCAGGGAUGUGGGAAUGUGGGAAUUGGGAAAUUUGGGAAUUUGGGAAUGUGGGAAUCCGGGAAUUUGGGAAUGUGGGAAUUGUGGAAUUCAGGAAUUCAGGAAUGUGGGAAUUCGAGAAUUGGGGAAUGUGGGAAUUUGGAGAAUUCAGGAAUGUGGGAAUUCAGGAAUGUGGGAAUUGGGGAAUUCAGGAAUGUGGAAAUUCGGGAAUUCGGGAAUGUGGGAAUUCGGGAAUGUGGGCGGGGCGGCCAAGCAGGAUCCCAAAUUUCGGCGGGGCUGGAACGGGGUUGGGCCAUUCCCAAAAUUCCGGGAACGGGAACGGGAGAGGGGCGGGAAAGGCGGGGGAGGGAUCCGGGAAUUUGGGAUGGAUUUGGGGAAUUUGGGAGGGAUUUGGGGAAUUUGGGAAUUGGGAGGGAUUUGGGGAAUUUGGGAGGGAUUUGGGGAAUUUGGGAAUUUGGGAUGGAUCCGGGGAAUCAGCAGGACCUGGGAUGGAUUCAGGGAUUUUGGGAUUCAGGGAAUUUGGGAAGGAUUUGGGAUGAAUUUGGGUCAGAUCCGGGAAUCCCAAUCCAGCCCCAUUUUUUUGGGAAUUUGGGAUGGAUUUGGGAUGAAUUUGGGAUGGAUCCCGGAAUCCCAAUCCCACUCCAGCCCCAUUUUUCAGGAUUUUGGGAUGGAUUUGGGAUUUGGGACGGACCCAGGGCUCCCCUCCACCA
RNAcentral lists this long non-coding RNA (1091 nucleotides) under Chloebia gouldiae (Gouldian finch). Its description in RNAcentral is "Erythrura gouldiae (Gouldian finch) lncRNA (ENSEGOG00005010796.1)". The record is from RNAcentral. Lineage: Eukaryota; Metazoa; Chordata; Aves; Passeriformes; Passeridae.